GUCAACGACAACAACAGGGGGACACAAAAUGGCGGCGGCUUAGCUCCUACCCCUGGCGGCGGCGGCAGCGGUGGCGGAGGCGACGGCACCUCCUCCAGGCGGCAGCCGCGGCUUCUUUCUCAGGCAGCGGCAGCGCCCCCAGCAGGUGCGGUGGCGGUGGCGCGCGGCCAGAUUUGCCUGAAGAUCUGGACAAUCUUCUUUUUUGUCAUGGACUGUUAAAACACUUGGAGUUCCAAUUCUGGUCUUGAUUUCCUGGUUAAAGAUGUUCUUCACCCGAAUGCAGUUUUUCCUGUUGGUCAAAUAAGACAACUAUCAACAUUGCCU
This is a long non-coding RNA of Eubalaena glacialis (North Atlantic right whale), 324 nucleotides long. RefSeq lists it as uncharacterized. The transcript is spliced from 3 exons. The record is from RefSeq and is a predicted model, not a curated record. NCBI's taxonomy places the organism in Eukaryota, Metazoa, Chordata, Mammalia, Artiodactyla, Balaenidae.